This is a transfer RNA of Puccinia sorghi, 75 nucleotides long. It matches the Rfam family "tRNA". Rfam says of the family: Transfer RNA (tRNA) molecules are approximately 80 nucleotides in length. The record is from Rfam. NCBI's taxonomy places the organism in Eukaryota, Fungi, Basidiomycota, Pucciniomycetes, Pucciniales, Pucciniaceae.
GUGUCCUUAGUACAGACGUGGUUAGUACACUUCACAUGGACAUAAGAGAUGUGGGUUCAAUUCCCACAGGGCACA